GACGAACGCUGGCGGCGUGCUUAACACAUGCAAGUCGAACGGAAAGGCCUCUUUCGGGGGGUACUCGAGUGGCGAACGGGUGAGUAACACGUGAGUAACCUGCCCUUGACUUUGGGAUAACUUCAGGAAACUGGGGCUAAUACCGGAUAGGAGCUCCUGCUGCAUGGUGGGGUUGGAAAGUUUCGGCGGUUGGGGAUGGACUCGCGGCUUAUCAGCUUGUUGGUGGGGUAGUGGCUUACCAAGGCUUUGACGGGUAGCCGGCCUGAGAGGGUGACCGGCCACAUUGGGACUGAGAUACGGCCCAGACUCCGACGGGAGGCAGCAGUGGGGAAUAUUGCACAAUGGGUGGAAGCCUGAUGCAGCACCGCCGUGGGCGGGAUGACGGCCUUCGGGUUGUAAACCGCUUUCGCUCAUGACGAAGCUUUGUGUGACGGUAGUGGGUAAAGAAGCACCGGCUAACUACGUG
RNAcentral lists this ribosomal RNA (466 nucleotides) under uncultured bacterium. RNAcentral's name for it is "partial 16S ribosomal RNA". It matches the Rfam family "Bacterial small subunit ribosomal RNA", at positions 28 to 507 of the family's 1533-position model. The record is from RNAcentral.